GGGAAUCAGUAAGACUACAUUAAUCCUGAAAAAAUUAGAAAACUGAGGGAACUAUUAGUCACUAUAUGGGGCCUAAACUGGAGAAAACCUAGUCAAGUAUGGCUGAGAAAGAGAGAGAGAGAGAGAGAGAGAGAGAGAGAGAGAGGGGCUGAGGAAUUUGCUGGUUGAUUGUUUAGGCCUUUUGGUCUUUAGAGGUCUGAUGUCAAUAUUUUAAAAUGCUGGAGUAUGUGUUUGGAACAUAAAAUGAGACAAUUAUAGAGAUUCUUACUGUUAUUUGGAUAUUCGCUUUUAUAUGCAUGAAAUGGUUGUAAAGUGUAGAUAGGAGGUUGGUGAGCUGUCUUAAGUAAGCUGUGUAUUUGUGAUAGAGAAAGACUAAUAGUGAAUAAUAAACCUAAAAAUAGGGGGAACUAAGAAAAUUCUAAAACCUCUGCAAUAGUUCAAAUGAAUAAUAAGGCCUUUUGGUCUUUAGAGGUCUAUUGUCAAUAUUUUAAAAUGCUAGAGCAUGUGUUUGGACAUAAAAUGAGACCAUUAUAGAGAUUCUUACUGUUGUCUGGAUAUUCGCUUUUAUAUACAUGAAAUGGUUUUAAAGUGUAGAUAGGAGGUUGGUGAGCUGUCUUAAGUAAGCUGUGUAUUUGUGAUAGAGAAAGAUUCUUCUCUUGUAAGUUUUGUAGACUGGAUAGGCUCCUAGUUAGGGAAAGUGGUGUGUAUACUCCAUGUAUACUUAGAGGGCACCGGUUUUUGGUGUUUCCUCUUUUCGUUUAAUAUACUUCUUUUACUUAUCAAAAAAAAAAAUAGUGAAUAAUAAACCCAAAAAUAGGGGGAAACUAAGAAAAUUCUAAAACCUCUGCAAUAAUUCAAAUGAAUUAUAAGGCCUUUUGGUCUUUAGAGGUCUGUUGUCAAUAUUUAAAAUGCUAGAGUAUGUGUUUGGAACAUAAAAUGAGACAAUUAUAGAGAUUCUUACUGUUGUCUGGAUAUUUGCUUUGGGAUAGAGAAAGACUAAUAGUGAAUAAUAAACCUAAAAAUAG
Molecule: long non-coding RNA, 1025 nt
Filed under: Vitis vinifera (wine grape)
Lineage: Eukaryota; Viridiplantae; Streptophyta; Magnoliopsida; Vitales; Vitaceae
Description: long non-coding RNA (VVIN_LNC003646)
Source: RNAcentral